UGAAUCAAUUGUUUCUCCACUGCCUG
Molecule: non-coding RNA, 26 nt
Filed under: Mus musculus (house mouse)
Lineage: Eukaryota; Metazoa; Chordata; Mammalia; Rodentia; Muridae
Source: RNAcentral